Vicia faba (fava bean) is the source of this 261-nucleotide non-coding RNA. The record is from the annotation of a GenBank genome assembly. NCBI's taxonomy places the organism in Eukaryota, Viridiplantae, Streptophyta, Magnoliopsida, Fabales, Fabaceae.
AUGUUCCAUCACGAAACUGUGAUCUGUAGACAACUUCUGACUGUGACCCUUCAUCUGCCCACACGGCCAUCGCACACAAAAUCCAGUGGUGCACCAUGUCCAUCCACCACAAUUCCGCUCCAACCAUCAUCGCCGACCUUCCUCCGCCAUUUUUUCCGCCACUAUGAGCCUUCAAUCUGGCCCGAAAUAAGCAGCAAUACUCACCAUAACCUCGACCAAAGCUCUCAGUGCAAGAAGAAAAACUUUGAGGUUUCUCAUUGA